CCUACGGGGCGCAGCAGUGGGGAAUAUUGGACAAUGGGCGAAAGCCUGAUCCAGCCAUGCCGCGUGUGUGAAGAAGGCCUUCGGGUUGUAAAGCACUUUCAGUGGGGAAGAAAGCCUUGGGGCUAAUACCCUCGAGGAAGGACAUCACCCACAGAAGAAGCACCGGCUAACUCCGUGCCAGCAGCCGCGGUAAUACGGAGGGUGCGAGCGUUAAUCGGAAUUACUGGGCGUAAAGCGCGCGUAGGCGGUCUGAUAAGCCGGUUGUGAAAGCCCCGGGCUCAACCUGGGAACGGCAUCCGGAACUGGCAGGCUAGAGUGCAGGAGAGGAGAGUAGAAUUCCCGGUGUAGCGGUGAAAUGCGUAGAGAUCGGGAGGAAUACCAGUGGCGAAGGCGGCCUUCUGGACUGACACUGACGCUGAGGUGCGAAAGCGUGGGUAGCAAACAGGAUUAGAUACCCGGGUAGUC
RNAcentral lists this ribosomal RNA (465 nucleotides) under Vreelandella stevensii. RNAcentral's name for it is "partial 16S ribosomal RNA". It matches the Rfam family "Bacterial small subunit ribosomal RNA", at positions 338 to 795 of the family's 1533-position model. Lineage: Bacteria; Pseudomonadati; Pseudomonadota; Gammaproteobacteria; Oceanospirillales; Halomonadaceae. The record is from RNAcentral.